CACCUUUUGUGCAAGGAAAGCAGCAGUUUUGGGACGGCUCUCCGGAGGGAGAAGUUACCCGUGAGGGGAUGGAAAGCUUGGGCUGAGUUGGAAGAUCUGAGCAAAACGUGGGUGAGAGGCAUUAAAAAGCAUUGAAAAGGAGUGAUUUCCCAGCAGGGAAAGGAGGGGAAGCUGCUUCCUGAUGCUGGCAGCAAAACUGCUGCGUCCUGCAUGAGAACUCUGCUGGUGGGCAUCUCCCCUCGCCCCUUCCCCAUCUGCCCUGCUGCAUCCACGUGGCUUGUUACCACCAUGUCAUCCUCUGUGUGAUCAUAAGAACUUGGUUUGGAGAAGAGCAGGCGCCAGGGUGACCUCAUUGUGAAUGCAUGGGGAAAAUAACAUGGCUUCAAGUGCAAGAAGAUUUUAGGAUAAAACUGACCAUUACUACAUGAGAGGCUGCAAGCUGGGAUCACACCCUAUGAGUGCAUCGAGUGUGGGAAGUGCUUUGGGUUCUUGCAGCUGCUCCAAGCUGUAAUCCUGCACCACCAGCCCUUAGGGAUCACUCAGGCAGAACUUCUGGGCACUGUAACCUGUGGGAUACUGGAGAAAUUGGGAUAAAUGCUCAUACAGUGCACCCCACGGCUUCCUCCUGUUCUAUGGCAAUGCUUCUCCUGCAUCCAUGUUCCUGGUGAAUGUAGAGCCCCAGGGUGGUGCACAAAGCUGCAAUGGGAUGUUGGUGUUCAAAGUUCUCCAGUUGUUUUCCUCAUUGCGAAAGGGGCAAAGUUCCUCAAACUAAAUUACUGCACCCUGGAGCUGAGCAGAGGUCGAAGCUGGGCAAAGCUCCUUCUCCCCUCCUUUUCUCCAGCACAGAUGCAUUCCGUAUUGGGCUGCAACCACCCCACUUCUGCCCUCCCCUGGAGGAUCCUCCUGCCUCUCAUGGCUCUGCACCUCCUCCGCCCAGGAUCAGCCCAGCUCAGGGUGGUGGCACCGAGCGCCCAUGUCACUGCCAUCGUGGGACAGGACGUCGUGCUACGCUGCCAGUUGUCCCCUUGCAAGGAUGCUUGGAGCUCAGACAUCAGAUGGAUCCAGCACCGGUCCUCUGGUUUAGUGCACCACUAUCAAAGUGGACAGGACCUGGAGCAGAUGGAGGAAUACAAAGGGAGGACAGAACUGCUCAGGGAUGGUCUCUUUGAUGGAAACCUGGAACUGCGCAUCACUGCUGUGAGAUCUUCUGACAGUGGCUCCUACAGCUGUGCUGUGCAAGAUGAUGAUAAUUACGCAGACGCUGUGGUGAACCUGGAGGUGUCAGAUCCCUUUUCCCAAAUCGUCCAUCCCUGGCAGGUGGCUCUGGCUGUGGUCAUCACACUUCUCAUUGGGUCAUUUGUCAUCAAUGCUUUUCUCCUUAGAAAGCAAGUGGCACAGAGCAGAAAGUUGAAGAGAAAAGAUGCAGAGUUGGAGACAAGCAAGGCAAAGUUGGAGACUCUAGCUGAAAGUCUGGACAUAAGUGAUGCUAAGUCGGAGCUACUAGCUGAAAAACAAAACAGAAGCAUGCAAUAUCGGAGACUCCAGCUAAAAAACAGAAGACAAGCAAGGCAACGUCGGACACUCUAGCUGAAAAACUGGAUGGAAGCAUGCAAAGUUGGAGAUACUAGCUGAAAAACUGGUGAGACGGGAUUCAAGCCAUCCUCAGUAUCCAAACUGAAGAGGUGUGGGUCCCGCACAUGUGAGCAUACAUGGGGCUGCGUGGGACGUCUGACCCAGAAAAAUAACCUGAAGAAUCGGACUGACAUUUUAAGUGCACCUUGCAAUAAUCACGGGUGUUAAACUUCCUAACCUCCUGAUCGCACAGGAUACCAAAACUGUGAUAACUAAAAGCAAGCAUGGUGACCCAAAGCAGGAAUGAGACAAGCCAGUGUCUGUAUUGAGUGAGAACACUGUGUCUCUGUGAGCCAAAGCUGCCUGAGGGACCAUUGAACAGAGGAUGGUGACCUCAAAAUGCAGCACAGCUGGAAGAAACAAACCAAAUAAGGGAAGAAAAUGGGUGGAGAUGGAGAUCCUGGAAAGAUACGGACAUUCUGGGGAAUGGUUUGACCAUGUACCAGGGCUUGUGGAACUCUAAUGAAUAUGCAAUGCCUCUGAAGAUAUAAACAUGCAUGCAGAAGCAGAGGCAGAGAACUGCUUUGGGUGUUAACACCGUUCUCUUUUGUAAAAUAAUAAAGGAUACCUGUAUGGUACUCAAUCAUUGACUGCUGUCAGUUAUUGGGGGUUUGGA
This is an RNA transcript of Lagopus muta (rock ptarmigan), 2248 nucleotides long. It is a transcript of the gene named myelin-oligodendrocyte glycoprotein-like, with no coding region annotated. The transcript has 17 exons. The record is from RefSeq and is a predicted model, not a curated record. Lineage: Eukaryota; Metazoa; Chordata; Aves; Galliformes; Phasianidae.